CAGGGAAUCUUGCACAAUGGGCGAAAGCCUGGUGCAGCGACGCCGCGUGGGGGAUGAAGGCCUUAGGGUCGUAAACCCCUUUCAGCAGGGACGAAAAUGACGGUACCUGCAGAAGAAGCCCCGGCCAACUACGUGCCAGCAGCCGCGGUAAGACGUAGGGGGCGAGCGUUGUCCGGAUUUAUUGGGCGUAAAGAGCUCGUAGGCGGUUGCGUAAGUCGGAUGUGAAAACUCAGGGCUCAACCCUGAGACGCCAUCCGAUACUGCGCUGACUUGAAUCCAGUAGGGGAGUGUGGAAUUCCUGGUGUAGCGGUGAAAUGCGCAGAUAUCAGGAGGAACACCCAUGGCGAAGGCAGCACUCUGGGCUGGUAUUGACGCUGAGGAGCGAAAGCAUGGGUAGCGAACAGGAUUAGAUACCCUAGUAGUCCCUGAGCGGGCUGGCAAGGCGCAU
RNAcentral lists this ribosomal RNA (448 nucleotides) under uncultured bacterium. RNAcentral describes it as "bacterial SSU rRNA". It matches the Rfam family "Bacterial small subunit ribosomal RNA", at positions 355 to 825 of the family's 1533-position model. The record is from RNAcentral.